UCCUGGUGUCAGGGAGAUUAGGAAACACCUUCAUAUACCGUACUCUAUUCUUGCCAAAAACCUCAAUGAAUGCUUAAAGUAAGAUCUAUUCAUGAAACUGACUUCACAUUACUUCCUAAAUAAAAGAAGGCUAUUCCCACAUUGCCCCCAGCACUGUGUUUGAACACCCUGGUGACUAGGAACACAGCCUUACCUAAAGCAGCUCCUUAGCAGUGCAGGUCUAAUAAGGUGGAACUGAAAUCUGACUUUGACCUAUGAGUCUCAGACAUCUUUAAACAUCUUUAAACAUUAACUAAGGGCUUACUCUUCUGAGUGCCCAUCUGAAGGUACCUGAACGUGUCGGGUUUCCCACUAGACCAUGAUCUCCUUGGAAGCAGGGACAGUAACUUCCCCCUCUUAGCAUUUGCAGAGCCUAGCACAGCAUUAGGCCUGGAGUGAGAGUUUCCUAAACACUUGUCUGACAAAGAAAUUAAUAAAACACUCUAACAUUCCCUGUGAUACUUCUUGCAGUCAGUCAAACUAUGUUUUGGUUCCUUAAAUAGCUUUUCUUUUUUUUUUUUUUUGAGAUAGAGUCUCACUCUAUCACCCAAGCUGGAGUGCAGUGGCGCCAUGUGGGUUCACUGUAACCUCCGCCUCCCAAAUUCAAGCGAUUCUCCUGCCUCAGCCUCCCAAGUAGCUGGGACUACAGGCACCUGCCACCACCAACUGCUAGGCCAGCUAAUUUUUGUAUUUUCAUUCAGUAGAGACUGGGUUUUGCCAUGUUGGCCAGGCUGGUCUUGAACUCCUGACCUCAAGUGAUCCGCCUGCCUCGGCCUCCCAAAGUGCUGGGAUUACAGGCGUGAGCCAUCGUGUCUGACCAUUAAAUAGCUUUUCAAGACAUGGUUUGGGUUGCUUUUUUAAAGAGACAAGGGUCUUGUCAUGUUGCCCAAGUUGGACUUGAACUCCUGGGCUCAAGUGAUCCUCCUGUCUCAACUCUUGAGAAUCUAGGGAUAUAGGCACACACCAGCGCACCCAGCUCAAGACAUGGUUUUUAUUUUCAUAACUUAUUUCCUUUUUUUGUUUUUCCACUUCUAGAUACAUACCCAGGUUUUUGUUUUUGAGAUGGAGUUUCACUCUCAUUGUCCAGGCUGGAGUGCAAUGGCGCAAUCUCGGCUCACUGCAACCUCCGCCUCCCGGGUUCACGCGAUUCUCCUGCCUCAGCCUCCCAAGUAGCUGGGAUUACAGGCACGUGCCAUCACACCCGGCUAAUUUUUGUGUUUUUAGUAGAGACAAGGUUUCACCAUGUUGGUCAGGCUGGUCUCGAACUCCUGACCUCACGUGAUCCAUCCACCUUGGCCUCCCAAAGUGCUGGGAUUUUAAGUGUGAGCCAAUGCACCCGGCCCUAUACCCAGGUUUUAAUUUUUAUUAUUAUUUUCUUUUGAGACAGGAUCUCACUCUGUCACCCAGGCUUGAGCAGAAGACAUGGUUUGUGUGUUUUUUUUUUUUUGAGAUGGAGUUUCGCUCUUGUUGCCCAGACUCCAUCUCAAAAAAAAAAUGAACUGAUUCUACCAGUUAACCACUGGCCCCUCAAGGUCUUGCUUCCCUUGGCCCCCAUAGCUUUACUCCUCUGCUCUGCCCUCAUCCUCCUUCCCUUCCUUCCUUGCCUGUCAUCUC
This 1653-nucleotide long non-coding RNA is filed under the name Homo sapiens (human). RNAcentral describes it as "HSALNT0295943". The record is from RNAcentral. Lineage: Eukaryota; Metazoa; Chordata; Mammalia; Primates; Hominidae.